Molecule: RNA transcript, 6042 nt
Organism: Oreochromis niloticus (Nile tilapia)
Lineage: Eukaryota; Metazoa; Chordata; Actinopteri; Cichliformes; Cichlidae
Exons: 20
Source: RefSeq, a predicted model, not a curated record
UCUUUAGGUUUCUUGAAGGCAUUUCAGUUCUCAUCCGAGAAGCUUCUUCAGUUCAAACUGUGGAGAUUACAGUUGUUGUAUCAAGCAAACUGUCACGGCUGCUAUACCCUCUGCAAAUGUGUAGUUGGGUUAAUGGGAUCGUACUUCAGAAUCAGUUUUAGUUACAAGGAAGUUAUUUCUUAGCACAUAAACAGUGUGGAGAUGACUUUAAGGACAUUAAAAAGAUGGCGUAGAAAGCCUCAUCUGGUCAGACGGAAAACUGCUGAAGAAAUUCCAACUGUAUUCUCAAAAUGAUCAAUGAUAUAUAUUCUUAAUAUAUUACUAUUGCUCCUUCAUACUUUUCCACCUGUUACCAACAUUAACAGAAAAAAACAAAGUUUAUAUGAAUGACUCGUGUAAACUCAUAUUUAAUGACUUGAAAAAAUAUAUAUAUUAAGAUUUCGCAAUAAUGGUAAUUAUUCAGUAGAAAAUAAGCACGACGUGGUGCCAAUUUAUCUUCCAAAAUUACUCCAGUGCAAUGAGUUGACAGUAAAACAGGUAUUAUUUAUAUACUUUUCAUUUCAUUGUUAGAGAAUAAGGUGAAUAUGCACUGCAUAUUGCCUUUGCACAACCAAAGUUUAAAGUAUUUCGGACUACAGUCAAACACCCUAUUUUUUAGAGAGAUUAACAACAGAGCUAAAGAAUGUCUUACUGCUUUCUACCAAGCAUCUUAGUCCUUUAAAUGUAAAGAAUGCAACAAAACCCAUUUGUAUGCAUGGACCUGUCUUUCCAUGAUCCAAACCAAAAGUGAAAGUAAUGUGAACACUCAUUGUGCCAAAGUAACACACACUUUGAAUUAAUUUUCACAUUGGCAACCUGUGCAAUGCAAUAAUUUUGAAGCAUUAUCAAUGAAAGCUAACUCCAUGUUUAAGUGAAAUGAAAUGAGAUUAACAAGGCCAUCUGUUUUUUUAUGGUAAUAGCAGAAAAUGAAAAACAUAAACACAGCACAAGUUUUUUAAAGUGUUCAAACUUGCAUGGACAGGGACAAGCAGAGUUCAGUUACACAGGUAGUGCUAUGGCUCACUGUUCAUUCACUGUUUAUUAACUGGUUCUUAAACAAAGAGAUGUUAUCUUAAACUCGAAAUUUCUGACUAUUGCAGUGCAUUGAAAAACAAAACAGCCAAAAAAAUGAAAUGGUAAAUGCAGAAAGUCUUAUAAAAGACCUGAAAACUUCAGUGCCAUUGUCUCACAGUAACAAAGCGAAAACACUGAUAUUUGUUUUCUUUUUUUUUUAUUCUGUUUUUUUUUCUUCUCAAGAGACAGACACGGUUUUGAGUUUAGUUAAACAUUAUGUGGUCGAACCAGUUGAGCUGCUGUGCAAGGUGUGUGCCAUUGUGUUCCUCCUUGAAUAAUCCUCACUCAACGGACUGCAUUAGUGUGGAUGAAAGACAUGCAAGUAGGUGUUAAACUCGUUUAUCUAGGCACAAUUUACCAGAAACAGCAACACAAGGAAUUUUUGACAAAGGCACAGAGAACACAUUAUCAAGUGCUGUCCAAAAAACAAAACAAAAAAAACCCCAAAUAGGAACUGUUAACUGUUAAAGCACCACUCUGUGUACUGUUUAAGAAUACUUUAGUCUUAUAAAGGUUGAACCUUGUUCUGAUUUUAAAAAAAACAACAGAAAAAAAACUCCUUGUGGACUUUGAACUUUGUGGUUUGUGUUGGUUACACUGUAGUCAAGAAUUCGAAGCAGGAAGUUUUAGGAUUAUGCGCAUUGCUGAGACUCUGUUGCAGACAGGAACAGAAAGAGAGAGAGGCAGGGAGAGAGAGGGAGGGACUUGUCCUGAAUCAGUACAAUGACGUGCUGUGCGGUGCAAUUUUCACAUGACUCAAGCACUUGUGGGUUACUUUGGUAAGGUGUGGAGCUGAACACCCAGUGGAAAUGCACACUUUGGAGUGGAUUACAACACGAGGUUUUAAAGAAAAGAAAUAUGCGUAGAAGAAUGCUGUAGGACUGCUGCAGAUACCUAAAGAAGAAUGUUGGCUCUUGGAUGGUCUUUCUGGUGUAUUUUACUGAGUCUACACAUGCCAGCUCAUGGCUUGGAGAUUUUUGAACUUGACAGCCAUGAAGUCAUUUGCUCACAGGGUCUCUCUAAAUGCAAGAUGAAAGAUGAGAUGCCUGUUAAUCCCAGCAAAAACACUGUGGAUGUUCGGACACUAAAACCAGAUUUUAAGCUCUGCUGUACGAACAAGACAGCAUGUGCAUUAUGUUUGGUGAUAGACAUAGAGUUUAACAUCGAUCCAGAUGAAGACAUGGAAGACCAAGGCUCCUCUGGGUCAGAAAUGGAAGAAUACAGAGAAGACAAGAUCACUUCAAAAGGGUCAUUGACAGUAUGUUAUUGCACAGAAGCGUCCAUGCCAAAGUGCAAGAAGGUGGUGUUUACAGUUAAUCAUGAAGCUCUUACUCAACAAAACCAGCUAAAGAUCUCAGUGGUGAUUACUCAGUCAGAUGGCUUUCCCUUUGAAAUCUCCCUGAUUGUCCGUAGCUCAAGUAUCACUGAAAGGGUUGCUGCUCCUUCUUUUAAUGAAGUGUGCUCCCAGGAACUGCAGAAAACUUUACCAGAGUGUCAAGUGCCCAAAUUCACAUUUGCAGUAAACUCAAAGAUGAAUCAAGUGGAGCUGCAGCUUGAAGACGGGAAUAAGAUCCCCCCCUCGAUGUGCAUCCAGUACGAGCAGAAGGGAAGGUGUCAGAGUUGGAACAGGAUGACCAUACCACUGUACUCCGUAACCCGCUGCAUGUGUCUCCAGCUGUGGUACGAGGAUGGACAAAGGUCUACACGGUCACUACAAUGCCCCUUCAAUAAAUCUGAUUCUCUGAAUGAAUCACAAAAGAACAUAUGGGAAAAUAUCACCGUGUCAAAGCCCCAUGUACAAAUGACCAGCUUUGGAGAAAUGUUAUCCUGGAACGUGUCUGCGCCUUGCAGGCUGGAUGGUAAAGUGUGGCUGCUUAAGAAACACAGUCGAAGCAGGAGUGCCUUCAGCCAACAGCUGGAAAAUGGCACUGCAUGGAAACAAAACAUCAAGGGACUCUGGGUGAACACAUUUGUGUUUGAAAAUGUACCCGUCCGGCCCUUGCCGUGUUUGAUGAUGAGAGUAAAGGGAAUGGAACAUGACCUAGGUCCAUUUUGUUUUGAUGACAAUGUUGCAGCUGGCAGGUGGCGCUGGAGUCUCCUAGCCACUGCUGUUAUACUCCUGGUUUUCAUUACUGUGCUCAUGUUAUGGUCCUUUCAUAAAUCUAUCAAGGGAUGGGUGUGGAGCUGGCAACACGGUGGGAUAGUAAAAAUUGGUAAGACGCGUCAUGUUGUCCUGCUGAGCCCCCCAGACGUGGAUGAUGCCACUUCUAAGUUGGUGUGUCAGAUCGGGUCCACCCUCAGCGACAAGGGCUUCAGUGUGUCUGUCGACCAGUGGAGCAGGAGGGAGCAGUGUAAUUGGGGGCCUCUGCCAUGGCUGCAUUCACAGCUGCUGGAGCUUAAUAGCCUGGGUGGCCGAGUUCUGCUGGUUCUGACACGUAGAGCCUUGGAGAGAACCGAAGAAUGGAUGCACUGGAACAAAGAUAUUAUCAACGAAAGCAUGGGGAACAAAGAAAAUGAUCUACCAAAGCUGUGGUCACCUUAUUCUGAUUUGUUCACAGCCUCCCUGUUCCUCAUUCAAGCUGAAAAGCUCCUUGAUAGGGCUGGUAAACGUUUCGUUCUGGUGAAAUUUGAUUCCCACCCAAGAGAGACUCACACCAGAGACAGGCGUUUACCAGAGCUUCUUCAGGGGCUGCCUCUGUUUAGUCUUCCCUCUCAGACUCAGUCUCUCCUAGCUGAGCUAACUGUGACAAAGACAGAGAGAGGAUCAUAUGGAGGAAGGUAAAAGUGAGGUACUCCAAUGGCUAAAAAGGGACCAAGACCAGCAAGAAGGCAUCAUCGUGUAAAUCUUUUAAGUCACCCAAAUGUACUUUAAUAAGCUGUAUUGCUUUAGUGUGUACAUGAAGAAUAUGUUCAUCAGAGUUGGCUGCCAUGAAGAUGAUAUGCUAAUGAAGAAUAAGACUCCUGACUCAGUGAUACAAAUACAGUCAACAAAUUCCAUACAGAGACCAAAACCAAUAAUCUGUUGUUCUAAAUCUCCACAUACCUUCAAGCCUUGUUUUAAAAAAAAAAAUCUGCUUAAGCAGAAGCAGCUGCUGUACCAGGACAGUGUAUACAAACUGACAGUAUAAAGAACGGUUAUAGUCGUCAAAGCUGCAAAACUGUCACUCCUACAGACUAAAAAUAACCGUGCACGGUAAGUCUGUCCACACCUGCCUAUAAAUAUAUUUGCCUCUGUUUUUGUUUUUUGUUUUUUUGUUUGGUUUAAACGCUAAAACACAUCGAGUUGUGAUUGGUCUUUGGAAGGACAGCGGCUUUUAUUGGGCCAGUGUAAGGACUUACUGAAGUACUUGUUAUAAGUAUUACCACGUUCCGUAAGAGCGGUGCCUUGGGACGAAUAUGUGCUCCGCCCGCGCGGGAGGUGUGGGUUAUUCUUUGCAAUCGAACACAACGCAGCCAACAGCCGGGUCAUGUGUCAAGUGUGUCUGUCUUGGAUUCACUCCUUUUAAAGUUUACUGCCCGUUUCACCCUAUAGCAGCGCGAAGGUAACGAAUACUCUUCAUUUAAGAGUCAGUUUGUUGCUGGUCGUGUUGUCUGUUUUAGUGUCAGAUUUUCUGUCGGCUGAUAUAUGUUUUUUCAACGUGAAACAUGAAGAAGCAGAGACUGGCAUAAAGGCUACUUUAUAUUUAGAAGCACGGUAACCGAAUGGGCAUGAAGAAUCUCCACAGAAACCUGCUUCAGGGUGUUUGUCUAUGGAGUCUGCUGGCUGUUCAGGUGAGCAGUUGUCCAGAUAGCUGCAGUCUGUGUUCAGGGCCAGAAAAUGACCAGUGUGAGGAAUGCAGAGCUGGAUGGACGCUCCAUAAUAAGAUCUGUGUAGACAUCGAUGAGUGUGGCACACAGCUGGGUAACUGUCCUCCAAACAGUUACUGCUUUAAUACAGAAGGAUCCUUUGAGUGCAGAGGCUGUGACGUGGCCUGUGUGGGCUGCAUGGGUAGCGGACCAGCACGCUGCAGGAAAUGUGCUUCUGGGUACAGACUGACAGGGUCCAAGUGUUUGGAUAUAGAUGAAUGCAGUGACCGUGUGCUUGCCUGCCAUGGUCUGGAUGAGAUUUGUACCAACACAGAAGGAUCUUUCCGUUGUGACUGCGCUGAAGGAUUCAUCCGCAUGGACAGUGUUUGUGUGAAGAAGCAGUUGCCUCAUUUUGAGGAGAAAGGUCUAUUUGAGGAUAUCCAAGAUGAUGAGGUGGAGGUACUGAAGCAGAUGUUUUUUGGGGUGGUCCUUUGUGCUCUGGCAACACUUGCAGCAAAGGGAGAUUUGGUCUACACAUCUGUGUUUAUGGGAGCAUUGGCAGCCAUGGCGGGUUACUGGCUUUCUGAUAGAGGAGACCGUUUGUUAGACAGCUUUGUAAAGGGACGUUAGAGUUGCAGACUUUUGCAAAGAGAACUUUACAGGAAGUGGACAAACCAAUGUGCUACUGCAUAGAGUGGCCUGGAGUUUUGCAUUAUUUUGUAUUGUGUGGAAUAUAAUAAGUACUUUUAAAAAUGUCUUGUUUGUUAAAGUAUAUAAACUAUUGCUUUAAGUUUAUGCUGCUUGUAAAUGUGUUUGAUUCAGGAGGGUGACAUUUAGUGUGCCUUAUCUUCUGCAAGAGUGCAGAUUUUCUCAGACUCGUGGGUUUAAAAUGGUUUUCCAUGAGUCAGUGGGUGAUAUCAUGGUCCUUAUGGAGUAUGGAAAAGAAAAUACAUUUGUGCAGUGAGAUUCACAAAAGGUUGAUUCAGUUAAGCAGCUAAAGAAUUGAAGUGCAUUUUGUGGUAUCUAACAUUGUCUUAUUUCUUAGAAUAAAAUUACAGAUGUCUUGAAUUCUACGUACACAUUGCAGUUUUAGUGAGUUUGAUUACGGAGAUUCAAGUGAAACCUGUUAAAUCUUUAAAAGUA